Long non-coding RNA from Chloebia gouldiae (Gouldian finch), 1847 nucleotides. The record is from Ensembl. NCBI's taxonomy places the organism in Eukaryota, Metazoa, Chordata, Aves, Passeriformes, Passeridae.
GGGAUCAAAAAGAAAGAGGACAUUCAAUUCAAAUAAGGUUAAAAGACUGAGGCACAGAGAAAUGGAAGGAAGAGACAAUUUUUGAAGCAGAGGAGAAAGAAGGCUAUAACCCAAAAACCCAUCCUGAAGUGUAAAAAUGUUAGUCAUCUCCAAUGGCCCUUGGAUAUAAGCUUUCCAAAUAUAUUCUCAUACUCUAUAUAGACGCACUGAUGACACUCCAGCAGUUCAGCAACAGGAAAUCUGAAAUAGUGGCACUAAAUGACAAGGAAAAAAAAUCACCAGGGAGAAAACUCUCCAUAAAAGUCUGAGGAUUAUUAUGGAGCAUUGGGAAAUGUUGCCAGUGCUGGACUGAAUACUCGUUGAGCCUUCAUUUCUCAGACAUCAUUGAUUAAAGGUGGAUGGAAAACUGCCAUACAAAAAGAGCAGACUCACGAGCUUCAGCUUUGCCUGUUUCCAUCUGCUUUGGGGCUGUAAGUGCAAAUCUGUGUAACAAAAUUGGCAUUUUUAAUCUUGUGUUUAGGGCCCAAGCAAAAGUGGUUGGACUGAGGAGGGGCUGUGUCACCACCAUUAACACAUGAUGCUCAUGAGGCUGUGCCCCCUUCAUUUGGAACUCCUUUAAGAAAUGGGAAGCAAACUGCAGGAGCCAGAAACAUCUGUCAUGGACUUGGAUUUAUCAGCGUUUUUUAAAGCAAUGGAUGUGUCUGCUUGCUGGGAUCCAUCAAUUAUGAGGGCAUAUAUAAGCUGUUUAAACAUUUCCAUGUGGUUUUGGGGUCUCCCUCAGAGAUGUCCUAUGUCCAUCAUGUCCACGCUCAUUUAUUCCGACACACAGAGAAUCCACCAUGACUGAUGACACUGCAAAAGUGAGUGAUGGGCCUUUCCUUGGUGGGUUUGUGCAGAGAUUACCCAUCUGCACACAGAAAGAGAGAAAAUGCACAUAGGUUUUAGUGGGGGGUACCUGAAAGAGUUUGUACUGGGUUGAUUCAAGACAUUAGUUUUUCAAGCCAAAGAGCUCAAAGAAAUAAGAAGCAGAAAUAUGGUAGUAUAUGAAAAUAUCACCUCUGCUUCUCCAGCCACAUGUAGAUCAUUCCAAGGAUAAUACUACUUACAUUUAUUUAUUUAUAUAGAGUUAUAUUUAUAUGUGUAUAUAAGUGAAUGUAAACUUUUUUCCAUUUAGGAAAAAGCUGUGAUUAGGGCAUGCAAGCUGAAGCAAACUACUGACUAUCUAUUUUGUUCAAGAGCUCUGGAAUAAUUUUUUUCCUCUUGCUCCUCGUCAUUUUUCCAGCCAUAUGGAUUUGCCAGUUCACUGCAUCAUUGCAUGUUUAUAACACAGCAUUUCUUCAGCAGCUGUCACUAUCUCAUAAUGCCAUAGUACAUCUUGUAUACUGAGUUGCAGGCCACAGUGUGAUAGAAAAGAGCUUACACUUUAAGAAAAAAAAACAAACCAACAAAACUUGACAUCCAUUUGGAUCUUGGUUGUGGAUAGAAAAAAAGGCAGGGAAAGUGCUAUGAACCCUCUCAGAUAUGUCCAUUGCUCCAGCUUUGUGUCAGGUUACUAAUUGACCACCAGGGCUUGACCUUUAGCAUGAUACAGUUUAGGAUACAUAAAGGAUGGGCUCCUCUUUCUCCUUGGCUCUCCUCUGUCAUACAGACUGGGAGCCUGACUUGCUGUCUACUUCUAAGUUGUGUUUUUGACAGGGAAAAAGAUGGGUGAAAAUAGAACAGGUACAUUCCUACACAAAAGCUGUGUGCCAAUUUUGGAGAUUUCAAUGAAGGGGAUAAAAGCUGCCCUCAGUCUUGGCCAUAGGGAUGCAUUCAGGUAACAGCUGAGAUGCCAAAACAUUGAUUGA